RNAcentral lists this long non-coding RNA (532 nucleotides) under Olea europaea subsp. europaea. Lineage: Eukaryota; Viridiplantae; Streptophyta; Magnoliopsida; Lamiales; Oleaceae. The record is from RNAcentral.
CAUAUAUUUAGAAUAUAAUACUUUCAAAAACAUUUCAAUGUCCAGGACUUUGCCUCUUUCUUCAAGGUCGACACAGACCCCUAUCCUUCUUACGACGAAGAGAAGGAGCUUAAGGAGGCAUUCAAGCUCUAUGACUAGGAUCAUAAUGGACUGAUCUCAUCCGUCGAGUUUCACAAGAUCCUCAUGCGCCUUCGAUGAGUGGUGCACCGAACAAGACGGCGUUGGGAUGAUAAAAUCUGUUGAUUUUGAUGGAGGUCGUUAGGUUAGCUUUGAUGAAUUCAAGAAAAUGAAGAUGAACAGUAGCGACAAUAACAACCCGUGGAGCUCCCAAAAUAGACAGUGGCGUGGCACCCGCAGAUUUUAGUGUUCACUUCUACCUGAUGUAUCACCUUUUUCCUUUGAAAUGGUGAUUCUAGGACAAAAGCCUCUGAUAUUGAUGAUUUGGGGUUAAUUUGGAUUGUGUUUAUGAAUUUUACUCUAAUGGCGUGCCACUUUAUUUACUUUAUUGGUUCUUUUGGAUAUUGCGUUGAAU